RNAcentral lists this ribosomal RNA (474 nucleotides) under uncultured bacterium. Its description in RNAcentral is "bacterial SSU rRNA". It matches the Rfam family "Bacterial small subunit ribosomal RNA", at positions 330 to 793 of the family's 1533-position model. The record is from RNAcentral.
UGGUCACUCCUACGGGAGGCAGCAGUGGGGAAUAUUGCACAAUGGGCGCAAGCCUGAUGCAGCCAUGCCGCGUGUGUGAAGAAGGCCUUCGGGUUGUAAAGCACUUUCAGUUGUGAGGAAAGGUUAGUCGCUAAUAUCGGCUAGCUGUGACGUUAGCAAACAGAAAGAAAGCACCGGCUAACUCCGUGCCAGAGCCGCGGGUAAUACGGAGGGUGCGAGCGUUAAUCGGAAUUACUGGGCGUAAAGCGCGUGUAGGUGGCUUGUUAAGCCAGAUGUGAAAGCCCCGGGCUCAACCUGGGAACUGCAUUUGGAACUGGCAGGCUAGAGUUUUGUAGAGGGUGGUAGAAUUUCAGGUGUAGCGGUGAAAUGCGUAGAGAUCUGAAGGAAUACCGGUGGCGAAGGCGACCACCUGGCCAAUAACUGACACUGAGACGCGAAAGCGUGGGGAGCAAACAGGAUUAGAUACCCUGGUAG